Molecule: long non-coding RNA, 355 nt
Organism: Oncorhynchus tshawytscha (Chinook salmon)
Lineage: Eukaryota; Metazoa; Chordata; Actinopteri; Salmoniformes; Salmonidae
Source: Ensembl
CGCCAUUGUAAGUUCAGAGUCACUCGCCCUAACAGUGCGUGUGUGCUGGAGGUGAGCGAAAGCUCGGGGGAGAGGGGUGAGUGUGGUGGAGGUACCUGUACCAGACAGAGGGAGACAGGCCAGGGAGAGAGGGGGUGAGUGUGGUGGGGGUACCAGUACCAGACAGAGGGAGACAGGCCAGGGAGAGAGGGGUGAGUGUGGUGGGGGUACCUAUACCAGACAGAGGGAGACAGGCCAGGGAGAGAGGGGUGAGUGUGGUGGAGGUACCUAUACCAGACAGAGGGAGACAGGCCAGGGAGAGAGGGGUGAGUGUGGUGGGGGUACCUAUACCAGACAGAGGGAGACAGGCCAGGGA